GCGGUAAUACCAGCUCUCCGAGUGGUAGGGACGAUUAUUGGGCUUAAAGCGUUCGUAGCCGGCUCAGCAAGUCUUCCGUUAAAUCCAGCGACCUAAUCGUUGGGCUGCGGGAGAUACUGUUGGGCUAGGAGGCGGGAGAGGCCGACGGUAUUCUCGGGGUAGGGGUGAAAUCCUAUAAUCCCGG
RNAcentral lists this ribosomal RNA (184 nucleotides) under uncultured archaeon. Its description in RNAcentral is "partial 16S ribosomal RNA". It matches the Rfam family "Archaeal small subunit ribosomal RNA", at positions 467 to 651 of the family's 1478-position model. The record is from RNAcentral.